UAUUAACAGCUUUUGAGAUACGUUUAAAUAAUUUUUUUUCUUGUAACAUUUUUUAUUAAAGCAAUUGAUUUAACCCAAGUGAUCUUUGGCUCUCUUAGAUUUUGUAUAUGAUUUAAAGAGCCUCUCUACAAAUAUUGUUAUAUCAUCUAAAAAUAAAGUUAAUGUAAUUUAAACUAAAUUAAAUGACUAAACAAUAACGAGUAGAAUGUGAAGUUAGUUAAUUCAUUUUAGUUAAGUUAUAUCAAUUUGUUGGAUUAUGUUCCCAAAUUAAACAACUUAGGUUGGUAUAAAUUAAAAAUGGAUGAACAACAAGUAAAUGAAAUAUUUGCCGGCUGAUCGGCGUAAUUUAUGUGGAAUACUCAAUGGCGUAAACAGAAGGACUAUGAAGAGUACACGGAAAAACAAUGCGUGUCACUUUUUUUAAGAAACCGAGAUUUUGGGGACAAAAAAUUAUGAUGUAUUUUUACAUAGGGUCAAGUGGGGUAAAUGGAAAUGAAAUUUACAUGUUUUACAACUUUUAUUAGAUUCAUGUAGUAAUAAUUUUUUUUAAUUUUGGUUUAGAUAAAAACUAUUUAACUAUAUACAAUAUGUGUCUAACAUUUCAAUCAAACGUUAAAAUAGUUGAUUAUUUUAAUAGAAAAAAUAAUAUAAAAUUUCAUAAAAAAUGUACAUUUGCCCCAUACUUCUGGGGUAAAUGAAAAUAACUAUUUCCAACAGCAAGUGUUAUAUUGAACAAACAUAUUGGGCAAAUGAAAUUGUUCUGUUACAGCUAUCAUUAUAUUAUUUCAUAUAUUCGAUACCUACAAAUUUCCAUUUGUCCCAAAUAGUAUACUGUGUAUGGGGUAAAUGCAAAUUAAAGUAUAGUUGAUAAUGUUAUAAGCCUGGGGCAAAUGAAAAUUUGUUUGAAUUACAUAAAUUACAAUUAAAUUAGUCAAAUAAUUUGGUAAUCUUUAUUAUUUUAACAUAAUUUAGUACAGUUUAAUGCUUACUUACUAUUUCAUAAACUUUCAAAAUAUAUUAACAGUCUUUUGUUUUCAUAUAAUAGUGAUAAUAAUAAUUUAACAUAAAAAAGAACAAUGUAAAGUAAAAAUUAUAAACAAAAUAACAAACUAACAGCAUUUUUAGUUUCAAAAUAUAUCACAUAAAUUAAUGUAUGUAACAUAGUGCCUAAACUGAUUAUUUUUCAUCGACAUUUAUGUAUCCAGGAAAUGUGUAUAUCGUUUUUCUGUUCUUCUUAUGUUCAGUUGGUAUUGGUAAUAUUGCAAGAAUCAUCUCUACUGUAAUAUCUGACAAGUCAUUUUCAACAAUAUAAAAAUCAGUUCCAAUUUCAUUAUUUUUUUUUAAUCCUCGGACUAAAAUAUCCCCAUCAUCUUCAUCUAUACGUUUAACUAAACAUACAUACUUAAAAUGUUGUUUCUUACGGUUCCCUCCAAUAAAAUCUAUUAAAAGAAAUACUCCAGGUUUUAUUUGAGACCAAAUUGGUGUAUUGUAUAAAACUUCUUCAAUACUUAAAUCUAAUGAAUUGUCAUUACAAUCAUCUCCUGAUGAAUGAUAAACUCAUCAUCAAUAUUAUCAAUUGAUUGUUCCAACACAAUAUUUUGUACAUCUUUAAUAGCUUUCUUAUGUCUCCCAAGUUUUCUAGGAUAUUUGAUUAGCUUUUUCUUUGAGGUUGCUUCCUCCAAUUAUUUUAACACAU
Long non-coding RNA from Daktulosphaira vitifoliae (grape phylloxera), 1696 nucleotides. RefSeq lists it as uncharacterized. The record is from RefSeq and is a predicted model, not a curated record. The transcript is spliced from 2 exons. Lineage: Eukaryota; Metazoa; Arthropoda; Insecta; Hemiptera; Phylloxeridae.